AGUGAACGCUGGCGGUAGGCCUAACACAUGCAAGUCGAACGGCAGCACAGUAAGAGCUUGCUCUUACGGGUGGCGAGUGGCGGACGGGUGAGGAAUACAUCGGAAUCUACUUUUUCGUGGGGGAUAACGUAGGGAAACUUACGCUAAUACCGCAUACGACCUACGGGUGAAAGCAGGGGAUCUUCGGACCUUGCGCGAUUGAAUGAGCCGAUGUCGGAUUAGCUAGUUGGCGGGGUAAAGGCCCACCAAGGCGACGAUCCGUAGCUGGUCUGAGAGGAUGAUCAGCCACACUGGAACUGAGACACGGUCCAGACUCCUACGGGAGGCAGCAGUAGGGAAUAUUCGGCAAUGGGCGCAAGCCUGAUCCAGCCAUACCGCGUGGGUGAAGAAGGCCUUCGGGUUGUAAAGCCCUUUUGUUAGGGAAGAAAAGCAGCAGGUUAAUACCCCGCUGUUCUGACGGUACCCAAAGAAUAAGCACCGGCUAACUUCGUG
This 492-nucleotide ribosomal RNA is filed under the name uncultured bacterium. RNAcentral's name for it is "partial 16S ribosomal RNA". It matches the Rfam family "Bacterial small subunit ribosomal RNA", at positions 29 to 507 of the family's 1533-position model. The record is from RNAcentral.